UACGUAGGGUGCAAGCGUUGUCCGGAAUUAUUGGGCGUAAAGAGCUCGUAGGCGGUUUGUCGCGUCGGGAGUGAAAACCUUGGGCUUAACUCAGGGCUUGCUUUCGAUACGGGCAGACUAGAGGUAUGCAGGGGAGAACGGAAUUCCUGGUGUAGCGGUGAAAUGCGCAGAUAUCAGGAGGAACACCGGUGGCGAAGGCGGUUCUCUGGGCAUGAUCUGACGCUGAGGAGCGAAAGUGUGGGGAGCGAACAGG
Molecule: ribosomal RNA, 253 nt
Filed under: uncultured bacterium
Lineage: Bacteria
Description: partial 16S ribosomal RNA
Rfam family: Bacterial small subunit ribosomal RNA
Source: RNAcentral